CCUACGGGCGGCUGCAGUGAGGAAUAUUGGUCAAUGGACGAGAGUCUGAACCAGCCAAGUAGCGUGAAGGAUGACUGCCCUAUGGGUUGUAAACUUCUUUUGUACAAGGGUAAACCUGAAUACGUGUAUUCAGCUGAAAGUACUGUACGAAUAAGGAUCGGCUAACUCCGUGCCAGCAGCCGCGGUAAUACGGAGGAUCCGAGCGUUAUCCGGAUUUAUUGGGUUUAAAGGGAGCGUAGAUGGGUUGUUAAGUCAGUUGUGAAAGUUUGCGGCUCAACCGUAAAAUUGCAAUUGAUACUGGCAGUCUUGAGUACAGUUGAGGUAGGCGGAAUUCGUGGUGUAGCGGUGAAAUGCUUAGAUAUCACGAAGAACUCCGAUUGCGAAGGCAGCUUACUAAACUGCCACUGACAUUGAUGCUCGAAAGUGUGGGUAUCAAACAGGAUUAGAUACCCCUGUAGUC
RNAcentral lists this ribosomal RNA (460 nucleotides) under uncultured bacterium. RNAcentral's name for it is "partial 16S ribosomal RNA". It matches the Rfam family "Bacterial small subunit ribosomal RNA", at positions 338 to 795 of the family's 1533-position model. The record is from RNAcentral.